Molecule: long non-coding RNA, 1151 nt
Filed under: Canis lupus familiaris (dog)
Lineage: Eukaryota; Metazoa; Chordata; Mammalia; Carnivora; Canidae
Description: lncRNA (ENSCAFG00000048801.2)
Source: RNAcentral
ACUGUCAGCAGGGUCGCCGUUGGGAAGAGCUUGCAAAGGGCUCCGGCUUGCAAGGGACCCAGCUUUGCGACUGUGCCAUUCCCGGGCCGAGAGGCUGAGGCCGGUCACUCGGGUUGCAGAAAGGCCGGGCAUAUGGGCACCACCGCGCGCAAAACACUCCACUUUGGCGGAGUCGUGCAGCUCGCCGGCUCUCGCCCUCCUUUACAGCACACCUGGAGGGGGAAGCUCCUGUGUCUCCUGACUGUGUGUUAUGGGAUGUAUGAUUCUGGAAAGCUGGCCUGGAGCGAGAUUGAUGUGGACCUUGGAUUCUCUGCCAGGGGUUUUGAACUUUUUGCUGCUGAGAAGAGGAGCCAUUAAAGUGAGGAAUGUUUGGGCGUCAGCAGUAUAACUUCUGACUGAACGGGAGAGCCAAGAGUUUGGGGCUGAGGCAGCGCUGAAUUCAAUAAAUAUUUGGAGGCUGGGUCACAGAACUUAGCGACCAUUGUAGCUGGAGGGUGACAGAGAACGUUGUCCCGAAUUCUGCAGCACCCUGAACACAGUUCUGCUUCCCUAGGAGUCUUCCCUUCUCCAGCACUCCAUUGGUUUACCACAUACCGCAUGCUUUCUGGAAACUUUAACAUCCUCGUCACCUCUUCAAACACAGAGGGACAAAUUGAAGAUCAUUAAGAACUUCUUCUCCCUCCGAUGAGUCCUUCUGCCUCAAUGUGCCAUGAGGCUAUCAUAUUUGCCUCCCUCUGUGUGCACAGUUGACGAGCAUAUCACACAGUAGAGGCUAAAGUGGCCACAAGAGGCUGCGUUGAGGUUGCUGGAGAAGAGAGAAGCACACGGCCAGAGAGAAGGUUCAUGGGAUGUCCACUAUUUAGAUGCCUGACUUCAGAGUUAGCCAUGUCUUGGCUCUUGGCAAUUCCUAAGGAAAUUCUGGAUGACGACCCUUGGAAGACUUUCUGGCCCAGGAGGGGCACCCGAGAGCAAAAAACGAGAGAGCCGAGUUUUAUCGGCCAGGCGGCCCGUGCUUAAAGGUGACAUUCGAGAGAACAAUCGCUAGGUUGUUUGGUCACCUUUGCUGGUAUGAAUGAAGCUUAAGAAAAGCUGUCUUUGGAUUGCUACUAAUAGUCAUCUUCAUCAUGCCUGCUCUCCCUCUCUCUCUCCCU